This 466-nucleotide ribosomal RNA is filed under the name uncultured bacterium. RNAcentral describes it as "partial 16S ribosomal RNA". It matches the Rfam family "Bacterial small subunit ribosomal RNA", at positions 28 to 507 of the family's 1533-position model. The record is from RNAcentral.
GAUGAACGCUGGCGGCGUGCUUAACACAUGCAAGUCGAACGAUGAAGCCCAGCUUGCUGGGUGGAUUAGUGGCGAACGGGUGAGUAACACGUGAGUAACCUGCCCUUAACUCUGGGAUAAGCCUGGGAAACUGGGUCUAAUACCGGAGAGGAGCGUCCACCGCAUGGUGGGUGUUGGAAAGAUUUAUCGGUUUUGGAUGGACUCGCGGCCUAUCAGCUUGUUGGUGAGGUAAUGGCUCACCAAGGCGACGACGGGUAGCCGGCCUGAGAGGGUGACCGGCCACACUGGGACUGAGACACGGCCCAGACUCCUACGGGAGGCAGCAGUGGGGAAUAUUGCACAAUGGGCGAAAGCCUGAUGCAGCGACGCCGCGUGAGGGAUGACGGCCUUCGGGUUGUAAACCUCUUUCAGUAGGGAAGAAGCGACAGUGACGGUACCUGCAGAAGAAGCACCGGCUAACUACGUG